Molecule: ribosomal RNA, 374 nt
Filed under: uncultured bacterium
Lineage: Bacteria
Description: bacterial SSU rRNA
Rfam family: Bacterial small subunit ribosomal RNA
Source: RNAcentral
UACGAACUGCGCGAACGUUAUUCGGAAUCACUGGGCUUACAGGGUGCGUAGGCGGCUUCUCAGGUCCGAUGUGAAAUCCCCCGGCUCAACCGGGGAAUGGCAUUGGAAACCGGGAAGCUCGAGUGAGCUAGAGGUGCACGGAACUUCCGGUGGAGCGGUGAAAUGUGUUGAGAUCGGAAGGAACACCAGAGGCGAAGGCGGUGCACUGGGGCUUGUCUGACGCUGAGGCACGAAAGCCAGGGGAGCGAACGGGAGUAGAUACCCCGGUAGUCCUGGCCGUAAACGAUCAGUACUAGACGGAGGGGGGCUUGCCCUUCUCGGUCGUAGCGAAAGCGAUAAGUACUGCGCCUGGGGAGUAUGGUCGCAAGGCUGAA